RNAcentral lists this long non-coding RNA (225 nucleotides) under Sorghum bicolor (sorghum). Its description in RNAcentral is "long non-coding RNA (SBIC_LNC001151)". Lineage: Eukaryota; Viridiplantae; Streptophyta; Magnoliopsida; Poales; Poaceae. The record is from RNAcentral.
UGCACCUAAGAUCAAGACAUUUAUUCAGAAAGAUUCACUCUACCAAAGUAUUAUUGCAUUAGAGGCAUGGGCUAUGCAAAAAUAAGGAUAUUUUGAGGAAAUAAAAAGGAGCAAGUGCUCGAUAACCUCGCAGAAAAAAUUGACAAGUGUCCGGCAGUAGAUUUAGGGGUACCUCGGUAUCCACUUAAAAAAAGAAGAGAGAAAAAAGAAAGAAAAUGAUAGCCC